This 72-nucleotide transfer RNA is filed under the name Pectinophora gossypiella (pink bollworm). RNAcentral describes it as "transfer RNA valine (anticodon CAC)". It matches the Rfam family "tRNA". Rfam says of the family: Transfer RNA (tRNA) molecules are approximately 80 nucleotides in length. The record is from RNAcentral. Lineage: Eukaryota; Metazoa; Arthropoda; Insecta; Lepidoptera; Gelechiidae.
GCCUCUGUGGUUCAGUGGUUGAGCGUUGGACUCACAAUCCAGAGUUCCCGGGUUCGAAUCCCGGUGGAGACA